AAUAAAUGUUAUUGGACGAAAAAUCUUAUUGGAUUUUUCUGGAAUUUUUAGAAAUUUUUCGGGAUUUAAACGGGCUCCGUAUGAUCCGUUUUGAGAGCAUGGAUUUCGGGUACAGAGGAGGCAUGUUUGGAACACCAUUUAAGUGGGAGUUGAUUAAGGAGAAAACUUUGAGUUUAAUUAAAUUAAACCUAAGUGUUUAAAUAAGCCCUAAUUCCCGAUUUCCUCCUCCUUCACACGGUUUUCCUUUCUCCCGAGCCUUCUCUCGCGAUUUCUUCUCGCACGAUCGCCGGUCGCCAUGGACUCACCGCCGGCAACGAUCCCCUCCUCCAGCGUACCUCGGUUGAGCUUUCCUCCUCUCUGUCUCUCUCUCGUGCCGCCGUGGUCCGUUUCUCCCCGACGCUUCUUCCUUCCUCUCUCGUGCGGAUGAAUUCGACACCGACGGAGAGAUUCUUCCCUGACGAUCCUAUUCUCGCCGAGUCGCCUGAGGGAGAGCAUCGGAUCUCGACGGUAUCAACUAUCUCUGGAGGAGCGACCACCUUCUCGGCCACUCGACCAUUCCUUGCGCGCGGUGGACAGCGAUCGGGGGGGGGGGGGGAAUUCGAUCUAGGGCACAACAAGGUUUGGGAUCGCAACGCCCUCCUAGCCGAUUGACCACCGUCAAUCCUCCUCCUGGAUCCGAUCACUGGUGUAUGCUCUGUAUCUCCCCACCAGAUGGAUUGAAUCGGGUGAUCAACCUUGAGGAAGCAUUGGAUCAAUAUGUGGUGGACCUUCCUUGUUGCCGACCAUUGCCAGUUCUACUUCUUCAAGCUGUGCAUGCCUCGGGUGAAGAGGACUUGGAUUCGAGGCGAGCGUCUCGACGCGGGUGGGAUUUAUCUUAUCAUGAUCGACAUAUUUAAGGCGGGUAUUUCUUCCUUGCCUCUAUGUAGAUUUUAUUGAGCUUAGUGCAUGGUUUUAUGUGAUGGUUUAGGAUGCUUUAUCUUA
Molecule: long non-coding RNA, 981 nt
Organism: Zingiber officinale
Lineage: Eukaryota; Viridiplantae; Streptophyta; Magnoliopsida; Zingiberales; Zingiberaceae
Exons: 3
Source: RefSeq, a predicted model, not a curated record